AUGAUGGCUAAACUCAUCAUUCAUCAUCGCCAGCAUAAUACAAUGAACUGUAGUUCAGUCAUUAAGCCACUUCUGAUAAGUGUCUCUGACUGUGCUACGCAUAUUCAAAGCUGGCUCCUCGGGUGCUGGAUCUAUCAAUACAUACAAGAUCCGUUUGUGCUCUAGGAUUAUUUUGAGCUUUCGAUACUAGCUAUCAAAAUUUGAUCCUAUCAAUUUAUCAUUAUCUAAUAGUGAUUGGAGCGACA
This 245-nucleotide long non-coding RNA is filed under the name Elaeis guineensis (African oil palm). Its description in RNAcentral is "long non-coding RNA (EGUI_LNC051729)". The record is from RNAcentral. Lineage: Eukaryota; Viridiplantae; Streptophyta; Magnoliopsida; Arecales; Arecaceae.